GACGAACGCUGGCGGCGUGCCUAAUACAUGCAAGUCGUGCGGACCUUGUUGAAAGCUUGCUUUUAAAAGGUUAGCGGCGGACGGGUGAGUAACACGUGGGCAACCUGCCUGUAGGACUGGGAUAACGCCGGGAAACCGGGGCUAAUACCAGAUCGUUUUUUCCUCCGCAUGGAGGAAAAAGGAAAGGCGGCUUCGGCUGCCACUUACAGAUGGGCCCGCGGCGCAUUAGCUAGUUGGCGGGGUAAUGGCCCACCAAGGCAACGAUGCGUAGCCGACCUGAGAGGGUGAUCGGCCACAUUGGGACUGAGACACGGCCCAAACUCCUACGGGAGGCAGCAGUAGGGAAUCUUCCGCAAUGGACGAAAGUCUGACGGAGCAACGCCGCGUGAGUGAAGAAGGCCUUCGGGUCGUAAAACUCUGUUGCCGGGGAAGAACAAGUGCCGUUCGAACAGGGCGGCGCCUUGACGGUACCCGGCCAGAAAGCCACGGCUAACUACGUG
This 500-nucleotide ribosomal RNA is filed under the name uncultured bacterium. RNAcentral's name for it is "partial 16S ribosomal RNA". It matches the Rfam family "Bacterial small subunit ribosomal RNA", at positions 28 to 507 of the family's 1533-position model. The record is from RNAcentral.